UUGAGUGCUUGCACUUUGGCAGACUGAGUGGCGGACGGGUGAGUAACGCGUGAGGAACCUGCCUUUCAGAGGGGGACAACAGUUGGAAACGACUGCUAAUACCGCAUAAGCGCACGGUUCCGCAUGGAACAGUGUGAAAAACUCCGGUGGUGUGAGAUGGACUCGCGUCCAAUUAGCUAGUUGGUGAGGUAACGGCCCACCAAGGCGACGAUUGGUAGCCGGACUGAGAGGUUGAACGGCCACAUUGGGACUGAGACACGGCCCAGACUCC
This 271-nucleotide ribosomal RNA is filed under the name uncultured Eubacteriales bacterium. Its description in RNAcentral is "uncultured Clostridiales bacterium partial 16S ribosomal RNA". It matches the Rfam family "Bacterial small subunit ribosomal RNA", at positions 72 to 339 of the family's 1533-position model. Lineage: Bacteria; Bacillati; Bacillota; Clostridia; Eubacteriales. The record is from RNAcentral.